Molecule: ribosomal RNA, 437 nt
Filed under: uncultured Saccharofermentans sp.
Lineage: Bacteria; Bacillati; Bacillota; Clostridia; Eubacteriales; Oscillospiraceae
Description: partial 16S ribosomal RNA
Rfam family: Bacterial small subunit ribosomal RNA
Source: RNAcentral
ACGGGAGGCAGCAGUGGGGAAUAUUGGGCAAUGGGCGAAAGCCUGACCCAGCGACGCCGCGUGAGGGAAGAAGGUCUUCGGAUUGUAAACCUCUGUUGACAGGGAAGAAACAAAUGACGUUACCUGUCGAGGAAGUCACGGCUAACUACGUGCCAGCAGCCGCGGUAAUACGUAGGUGGCGAGCGUUAUCCGGAUUUACUGGGUGUAAAGGGUGUGUAGGCGGGGAGGCAAGUCAGAUGUGAAAUCUACAGGCUUAACUUGUAGACUGCGUCUGAAACUGUUUUUCUUGAGAGUCGGAGAGGUAAAUGGAAUUCCCAGUGUAGCGGUGAAAUGCGUAGAUAUUGGGAGGAACACCAGUGGCGAAGGCGGAUUACUGGACGACAACUGACGCUGAGACACGAAAGCGUGGGGAGCAAACAGGAUUAGAUACCCUGGUA